Molecule: ribosomal RNA, 1318 nt
Filed under: Vanhoeffenella sp. ARK3
Lineage: Eukaryota; Foraminifera; Astrorhizida; Astrorhizidae
Description: bacterial SSU rRNA
Rfam family: Eukaryotic small subunit ribosomal RNA
Source: RNAcentral
AAGGGCACCACAAGAACGCGUGGAGCAUGUGGCUUAAUUUGACUCAACGCGGGAAAUCUUACCGGGUCCGGACACACUGAGGAUUGACAGGUGUUUCGUUUUGAUAUAGCAUUCAUAUCAAUGCUGGGGGAAACUUUUUAAUAGAGGGUUUUCUUUGGUAAUACAUGUGCUAUUAUACAAAACAAUUUCAAAUAUGCUAGUCCUUUCAUGAUUGUGUGAUAGGUGGUGCAUGGCCGUUCUUAGUUCGUGGAGUGAUCUGUCUGCUUAAUUGCGUUUCACUUAUGGCCGUAAGUGUUUUAUAUUAAUGCUGUGACCUCAUCGGUUUUUUUAUAAAGCGGUGAUUGCGUCCGGUAUGAUAUGCACUGCGAAAGCCUCGAAGGCAACGAACGUGACCGCAGCCUCUUGUUGCCUCCCUUGUGCAAACUGUAUUGUGGUUUCUGCAUAUUAUACUUUUAUCGGUAUUUUAUGUGUUCUACUUUCAGUUUUUUGCCACAGUUUUUUCUUAUGUAUGUAUUAUCGUUUUAGUUCCUUGAUGGGAACAUUGCACAUUUGCAGGUCAUAUAUAUAUAUAGUUUUCGUACAAGUUGCGUGGCUGUAUAUUGUGUGUGAUUUGCUACAUGGUGUGUAUAUGUCGUUCACAGGGAUCCUAAAAUUUGUAUGUAUAUACAGCGAAUUAACCUGCAGUGGAGGGAAACUAGAGGGACCGCUGACUUUUUAUCUAACCAGAGGAAGGUUGCGGCAAUAACAGGUCUGUGAUGCCCUUAGAUGUUCCGGGCUGCACACGUGCUACAAUGAUUAUUGCAGUGAGCAUCUUACCCCAGUUCGUGGGCACAGCUUAUUUCGUUACACUGGUACUUUAAAGGGUGGUUUGUAUGUAUUGGUUUCUUUUUUGAAGCUGGUAUGUAUUUUCUACCUGUCAGUGUUAGCGGGCUGAUGCAUUUUACGACCAGGCUACUUCGAAAGUAAGUAGCUAAUCAAUUCGAAGUAAUGAUUUCCUUUGCAUAUCUCAUAUAUGUCCCGUAUCUUAUGGGUGUUUUCGCUUUUUAGCGUUUACAUACCGUAUUAUAUGGUGGCAUGUGCUCCAUUAAUUCGUGGUGGGGACAGACCAUUGUUAAUUGUUGGUCUCGGUCUCAACUAGGAAUGCCUUGUACGGGUCUUUGGUUCAACAGACCACCCGGAAUAUGUCCCUGCCCUUUGUACACACCGCCCGUCGCUCUUACCGAUGGACUUCUCUGUGAGUUUGAGGGACUGGAAACUCCUUUCUAUGGAAACUUAAACGAACAGCGUGGUCUAAAGGAAAGAGAAGUCGAACAAGGCA